RNAcentral lists this ribosomal RNA (497 nucleotides) under uncultured bacterium. RNAcentral describes it as "partial 16S ribosomal RNA". It matches the Rfam family "Bacterial small subunit ribosomal RNA", at positions 28 to 507 of the family's 1533-position model. The record is from RNAcentral.
GAUGAACGCUGGCGGCGUGCCUAAUACAUGCAAGUCGAGCGAACAGACGAGGAGCUUGCUCCUCUGACGUUAGCGGCGGACGGGUGAGUAACACGUGGAUCACCCACCUAUAAGACUGGGAUAACUUCGGGAAACCGGAGCUAAUACCGGAUAAUAUCUUGAAGCGCAUUGUUCAAUAGUGAAAGACGGUUUUGCUGUCUCUUAUAGAUGGAUCCCGGCCGCAUUAGCUAGUUGGUAAGGUAACGGCUUACCAAGGGAACGAUGCGUAACCGACAUGAGAGAGUGAUAGGCCACACGGGAAGGUGAACACGGUCCAGAGUCCUACGGGAGGCACCAGUAGGCUAUCGUCCGCAAUGGGCGGAAGCCUGACAGAGCGACGCCAAGCGUGAGAUGGAGGUGUUCGGAGCGUAAAAAUCUGUUAUUGGGGAAGAACAAAUGUGUACGUAACUAUAGAGGUCGUGACGGUAACUAGUCAAAAAGCAACGGCUAACUACGUG